CAGCCGCCACGGUAAUACGAAGGGUGCAAGCGUUAAUCGGAAUUACUGGGCGUAAGGCGUGCGCAGGCGGUUGUGUAAGACAGGUGUGAAAUCCCCGGGCUUAACCUGGGAACUGCGCUUGUGACUGCACAGCUAGAGUAUGGCAGAGGGGGGUGGAAUUCCACGUGUAGCAGUGAAAUGCGUAGAGAUGUGGAGGAACACCGAUGGCGAAGGCAGCCCCCUGGGCCAAUACUGACGCUCAUGCACGAAAGCGUGGGGAGCAAACAGGAUUAGAUACCCGGGUAGUCCCUGUCUCUUAUAC
RNAcentral lists this ribosomal RNA (301 nucleotides) under uncultured bacterium. RNAcentral's name for it is "partial 16S ribosomal RNA". It matches the Rfam family "Bacterial small subunit ribosomal RNA", at positions 509 to 807 of the family's 1533-position model. The record is from RNAcentral.